This 77-nucleotide transfer RNA is filed under the name Puniceicoccales bacterium. Its description in RNAcentral is "tRNA-Pro". It matches the Rfam family "tRNA". Rfam says of the family: Transfer RNA (tRNA) molecules are approximately 80 nucleotides in length. The record is from RNAcentral. Lineage: Bacteria; Pseudomonadati; Verrucomicrobiota; Opitutia; Puniceicoccales.
CGGGAUGUAGCUCAGCCUGGUAGAGCGCAUGCUUUGGGAGCAUGAUGUCAUCGGUUCGAAUCCGGUCAUCCCGACCA